RNAcentral lists this ribosomal RNA (119 nucleotides) under Pteropus alecto (black flying fox). The record is from RNAcentral. Lineage: Eukaryota; Metazoa; Chordata; Mammalia; Chiroptera; Pteropodidae.
GUCUAUGGCCAUGCCACCCUGAACGUACCAAAUCUCAUUUGAUCUCAGAAGCUAAACAGGGUCGGGCCUGGUUAGUACUUGGAUGGGAGACAAUCUAGGAAUACCAGGUGCUGUAGGCG